RNAcentral lists this ribosomal RNA (347 nucleotides) under uncultured bacterium. RNAcentral describes it as "partial 16S ribosomal RNA". It matches the Rfam family "Bacterial small subunit ribosomal RNA", at positions 338 to 682 of the family's 1533-position model. The record is from RNAcentral.
CCUACGGGAGGCAGCAGUGAGGAAUAUUGGUCAAUGGGCGCGAGCCUGAACCGGCCAAGUAGCGUGAAGGAUGACUGCCCUACGGGUUGUAAACUUCGUUUAUAAAGGAAUAAAGUGAGGCACGUGUGCCUUUUUGUAUGUACUUUAUGAAUAAGGAUCGGCUAACUCCGUGCCAGCAGCCGCGGUAAUACGGAGGAUCCGAGCGUUAUCCGGAUUUAUUGGGUUUAAAGGGAGCGUAGAUGGGUUGUUAAGUCCGUUGUGAAAGUUUGCGGCUCCACCGUAAAAUUGCAAUUGUUACGGGCAGCCUUGCUUACAGUUGAGGUCGGCGGAAUUCGUGGUGUAGCGGU